This 497-nucleotide ribosomal RNA is filed under the name uncultured bacterium. RNAcentral describes it as "partial 16S ribosomal RNA". It matches the Rfam family "Bacterial small subunit ribosomal RNA", at positions 28 to 507 of the family's 1533-position model. The record is from RNAcentral.
GAUGAACGCUGGCGGCGUGCCUAAUACAUGCAAGUCGAGCGAACAGAUGAGGAGCUUGCUCCUCUGACGUUAGCGGCGGACGGGUGAGUAACACGUGGAUAACCUACCUAUAAGACUGGGAUAACUUCGGGAAACCGGAGCUAAUACCGGAUAAUAUAUUGAACCGCAUGGUUCAAUAGUGAAAGACGGUUUUGCUGUCACUUAUAGAUGGAUCCGCGCCGCAUUAGCUAGUUGGUAAGGUAACGGCUUACCAAGGCGACGAUGCGUAGCCGACCUGAGAGGGUGAUCGGCCACACUGGAACUGAGACACGGUCCAGACUCCUACGGGAGGCAGCAGUAGGGAAUCUUCCGCAAUGGGCGAAAGCCUGACGGAGCAACGCCGCGUGAGUGAUGAAGGUCUUCGGAUCGUAAAACUCUGUUAUUAGGGAAGAACAAAUGUGUAAGUAACUAUGCACGUCUUGACGGUACCUAAUCAGAAAGCCCCGGCUAACUACGUG